GCAGCGCUCAAAACCAAACUGGUGAGUUCACACCCCAUUCGGAGUCUAUCUGUUAAAGGUUUACCUAGAGUUUAGUACACCGUAUUUCUGUAAAGCAUCCAUGCAUGGAUAUAAUACCAACAGUUUUUGUUUUUGUAAUACAAAUAAGUCAAUAGAACGCAUAUGUUAUUCCGAGUUUGACUUCAAGGGGGCAGAAGUGAGAUUUGAACAUUCCUGCCAGUCGUGCACAAGAGGAAGAGACGCAAGAGCACGCAUCGUGUGAUGACUUUGGUAUGAUAUUGAUAAAGGAAGGAAUCCGGAGCCGAGAUGAACACGUUACGAACAUUUUUGCGCUUUUCGGGGGCCCAGAGUUUGUGUUGGAGUAAUGGCCCUCACUCAGCAAUAUCCAGAAGCAGUCAACAGCAAGGAGCCCUGAACACCAAAGAACAGGGAAACUGUGUUUUCCAGCAGCAACUCUGGCACUAUCAACAAGUCCGCACAGUCAAACGUGGGACAGAAUAUCAGCCGAAGAACAUCAAACGAAAGCGGACCCAUGGGUGGAUCAAAAGAAUUAGCACUCCAGGUGGGAUUGAAGUAAUCCUGCGCCGAAUGCUCAAAGGACGAAAAUCCCUGACACAUUGAGACUCUAAAUGGACAGUUGCUUUGAUUUACCUUUGACGUGAAUCUCCGUUGAAUUUCAGCUGGGCAGUAGUUUUCUAUUUAAAAAUGUCAAAUUAAAGAAAUCAAUGGACAAUGGCGCUGAAAGACUUCAUUGAAUGUUCUCUUUUAAAUUGCAAUUUAAUGGAUCUUAUCCAUCUUUAUAUUUUCAUUUGAUUCCAUUCAUUAAAGAGUUUACUGUUUGUUA
Carassius gibelio (silver crucian carp) is the source of this 844-nucleotide long non-coding RNA. RefSeq lists it as uncharacterized. The transcript has 2 exons. NCBI's taxonomy places the organism in Eukaryota, Metazoa, Chordata, Actinopteri, Cypriniformes, Cyprinidae. The record is from RefSeq and is a predicted model, not a curated record.